GAUGAACGCUGGCGGCGUGCCUAAUACAUGCAAGUCGAGCGAACAGACGAGGAGCUUGCUCCUCUGACGUUAGCGGCGGACGGGUGAGUAACACGUGGAUAACCUACCUAUAAGACUGGGAUAACUUCGGGAAACCGGAGCUAAUACCGGAUAAUAUAUUGAACCGCAUGGUUCAAUAGUGAAAGACGGUUUUGCUGUCACGUAUAGAUGGAUCCGCGCCGCAUUAGCUAGUUGGGAAGGUAACGGCUUACCAAGGCAACGAUGCGUAGCCGACCUGAGAGGGGGGUAGCCCACACGGGAGCGGAACCGCGGUCAAGGGGCCUGAGAGAGGCAGCAGUCGGGAACCUGCCGCAGUGGGCGAGAGCUUGACAGAGCAGGGCGGCGCGAGAGAUAACGGUCUUCGGAUCGUGAAACUCUGUUAUUAGGGAAAAACAGAUGUGUAAGUAGCUGUGCACGUCUUGACGGUACCUGAUCAGAAAGCCACGGCUAACUACGUG
This 497-nucleotide ribosomal RNA is filed under the name uncultured bacterium. RNAcentral's name for it is "partial 16S ribosomal RNA". It matches the Rfam family "Bacterial small subunit ribosomal RNA", at positions 28 to 507 of the family's 1533-position model. The record is from RNAcentral.